Molecule: transfer RNA, 72 nt
Filed under: Camelus bactrianus (Bactrian camel)
Lineage: Eukaryota; Metazoa; Chordata; Mammalia; Artiodactyla; Camelidae
Also listed under: 1 other name
Rfam family: tRNA
About the family: Transfer RNA (tRNA) molecules are approximately 80 nucleotides in length. Their secondary structure includes four short double-helical elements and three loops (D, anti-codon, and T loops).
Source: Rfam by way of RNAcentral
GAGAAUAUAGCUCAGUGGUAGAGUGCAUACUUAGCAUGCGUGAGGUCCUGGGUUCAAUCCCCAGAACCCUUG